This is a long non-coding RNA of Bubalus bubalis (water buffalo), 1065 nucleotides long. RefSeq lists it as uncharacterized. The transcript has 3 exons. Lineage: Eukaryota; Metazoa; Chordata; Mammalia; Artiodactyla; Bovidae. The record is from RefSeq and is a predicted model, not a curated record.
CGGAGCCCGGGGCUGCGUGCUCUACGGAGGUGGGAGGGGUGGGGGGGGGGCACCUGAACGCUGUGCGCUCUGCAGUUGGGGAGGGUAGAGGUGGGGGCUGAAGGCCUGUGGAGCCUGUACGCCCCCUUUUGUGUCCUGCAAAGGCGGCAGACCUUGUCUGUCUUUAUGUGCCCUGCAUAGGGGAAAGGUCUCUAGGAGCCCCGCGUGGGGAUGUCUAGGAAGCCAGGACAAGGUGUUCGUUGGAGGAUCUCCAGGGACGCACCUCCUUGACCCCCGGCGGAUUCUUUUACCGUCUGAGCCACCAGGGAACUCCUGAGAUGCGCCGCCAAAUAGUAAAGAGGCCGUCACCGCUCACAGUUUACUGCCGGUGUGCUCUCCGGCAGCACUGUACUCCCGUUUAAGGCACUGAAACCUCAAAACAGCAGAGUGCAGGGUAGCAGGAACAGGAAGCAAACAUUUAAAGAGGGAGUCAUCAGGUGUGAUCCUGAGACGUGACCUCGGAGGGCUCCUGGGUCUUGUGUAAGCUGGUAAAAGGUAUGUGCCACUGGUUCAGAGUGUUUACCCACAUCCUGCCAGGACAACACCCACACCCCAGAGAUGCCGUCUGCCACCGGGCACUGAAACCCAGCCUCCAGCAGGCCGUUCCUCUGUUAGUGAGAGCCGCUGCUUUCUGCUGCUGGGAAGCAACGCCUUUCAUUUGCAAAUCAGAACCCGGAUAGCAUCUCUCACCAUUGCUGAAGACCCCCAGGAAACCUCCCCCCACCUUUCUGAGAGGAGGUUUCACCCCCAUGAGAUGAUUUUUUCUCCUCGAGAUGCAGAUUGGAUUAACAGAUGGUGAUUUUCAUCGUAAUCUCUUCAGCAAAAUAGACUGAAGUCUUCUGUUUGGAAGACGUAGGCUGCCUUUGAUGGAGGGGCUGGGGGGUGGGGAAGGAAGGAAGGAAAUCUUAUUUGGUUUGUAAAACUCCCCUGCUAAAUGUACUUAUCAGAUGGAAAUAAAUCAAGUCUCUGUUUAUAAGGGCCUGGAUAAAUAAGCUCUGGCACCUCCAGAUAAUGCGACAAGAUGUA